This 697-nucleotide ribosomal RNA is filed under the name Epilithonimonas ginsengisoli. RNAcentral describes it as "bacterial SSU rRNA". It matches the Rfam family "Bacterial small subunit ribosomal RNA", at positions 60 to 757 of the family's 1533-position model. The record is from RNAcentral. Lineage: Bacteria; Pseudomonadati; Bacteroidota; Flavobacteriia; Flavobacteriales; Weeksellaceae.
AGCCGAGCGGUAUUUGUCCUUCGGGACGGAGAGAGCGGCGUACGGGUGCGGAACACGUGUGCAACCUGCCUUUAUCUGGGGGAUAGCCUUUCGAAAGGAAGAUUAAUACCCCAUAACAUAUGAUACGGCAUCGUAUUAUAUUGAAAACUCCGGUGGAUAGAGAUGGGCACGCGCAAGAUUAGAUAGUUGGUGAGGUAACGGCUCACCAAGUCAGUGAUCUUUAGGGGGCCUGAGAGGGUGAUCCCCCACACUGGUACUGAGACACGGACCAGACUCCUACGGGAGGCAGCAGUGAGGAAUAUUGGACAAUGGGUGAGAGCCUGAUCCAGCCAUCCCGCGUGAAGGACUAAGGCCCUAUGGGUUGUAAACUUCUUUUAUACUGGGAUAAACCUACUUACGUGUAAGUAGCUGAAGGUACAGUAUGAAUAAGCACCGGCUAACUCCGUGCCAGCAGCCGCGGUAAUACGGAGGGUGCAAGCGUUAUCCGGAUUUAUUGGGUUUAAAGGGUCCGUAGGCGGAUCCGUAAGUCAGUGGUGAAAUCUCAUAGCUUAACUAUGAAACUGCCAUUGAUACUGCGGGUCUUGAGUGAGAUUGAGGUAGCUGGAAUAAGUAGUGUAGCGGUGAAAUGCAUAGAUAUUACUUAGAACACCAAUUGCGAAGGCAGGUUACCAAGUCUUAACUGACGCUGAGGGACGAA